RNAcentral lists this transfer RNA (73 nucleotides) under Cyanoptyche gloeocystis. Its description in RNAcentral is "tRNA-Arg". It matches the Rfam family "tRNA". Rfam says of the family: Transfer RNA (tRNA) molecules are approximately 80 nucleotides in length. Their secondary structure includes four short double-helical elements and three loops (D, anti-codon, and T loops). Lineage: Eukaryota; Glaucocystophyceae. The record is from RNAcentral.
GCAUUCUUAGCUAAAAGGAUAAAGCAAUAACCUUCUAAGUUAUUUAUUAUAGGUUCAAGUCCUAUAGAAUGCU